GUUGGUGACUCUCGCGGCGGGGGUCCACCCGGUUCCAUCCCGAACCCGGCAGUUAAGCCCGCCCGCGCCGAUGAUACUGCCGCCGCAGGGCGGUGGGAACGUAGGUCGUUGCCAACC
This 117-nucleotide ribosomal RNA is filed under the name Ardenticatenaceae bacterium. The record is from RNAcentral. Lineage: Bacteria; Bacillati; Chloroflexota; Ardenticatenia; Ardenticatenales; Ardenticatenaceae.